RNAcentral lists this ribosomal RNA (497 nucleotides) under uncultured bacterium. RNAcentral describes it as "partial 16S ribosomal RNA". It matches the Rfam family "Bacterial small subunit ribosomal RNA", at positions 28 to 507 of the family's 1533-position model. The record is from RNAcentral.
GAUGAACGCUGGCGGCGUGCCUAAUACAUGCAAGUCGAGCGGACAGACGAGGAGCUUGCUCCUCUGUCGUUAGCGGCGGACGGGUGAGUAACACGUGGAUAACCUACCUAUAAGACUGGGAUAACUUCGGGAAACCGGAGCUAAUACCGGAUAAUAUAUUGAACCGCAUGGUCCAUUGGUGAAAGACGGCUUUGGCGGCCACUAUCGAUGGAGCCGGGCCUGUUUAACUUGUUGGGUAGGGAACGGCUUACCAAGGUAACGAUGCGUAACCGAGCUGAGAGGGGGAUCGACAACACUGGAACGAAGACACGGUCCAGACUCCUAGGGGAGGCAGCAGUAGGGAAUCUUCCGCAAUGGGCGAAGGCCUGACGGAGCAACGCCGGUUGGGGGAUGAAGGUCUUCGGUUCGUAAAACUCGUUUAUUAGGGAAGAACAAAUGUGUAAGUAACUAUGCACGUCUUGACGGUACCUAAUCAGAAAGCCACGGCUAACUACGUG